GCAGAUGUAGUUCAAUGGUAGAAUAUCAGCUUCCCAAGCUGACUACGCGGGUUCGAUUCCCGUCAUCUGCUCCA
This 74-nucleotide transfer RNA is filed under the name Clostridia bacterium. RNAcentral describes it as "tRNA-Gly". It matches the Rfam family "tRNA". Rfam says of the family: Transfer RNA (tRNA) molecules are approximately 80 nucleotides in length. Lineage: Bacteria; Bacillati; Bacillota; Clostridia. RNAcentral also lists the same sequence under 1 other name. The record is from RNAcentral.